Gavialis gangeticus (Gharial) is the source of this 1104-nucleotide long non-coding RNA. RefSeq lists it as uncharacterized. The record is from RefSeq and is a predicted model, not a curated record. Lineage: Eukaryota; Metazoa; Chordata; Crocodylia; Gavialidae. The transcript is spliced from 4 exons.
GGGUCCCUGAGCCUCCCGCCAGCGCAGAGCCAGAGGGUGCCCCGGCGGGCGACAGGGGUGCCAGCCCGGGCGGCAUCGCCGCGUGAGCUGCUUGAAAACCAAAUAAAUAUGUAAUCAAGAGGAAGAAGGAGAUAUCUGACUCUGGGGAAAAGAAGACACAGAUAAAGAAAGGAAAAUAGAACACAAAAGGAGGAUUUCCCCAGGGAAUUUAGCAGGAAGAAUGCAUAUACAGGAAUAUGCAUAUGUGCAUCAACAGCAAAAUCAAAAGUUUCAUAAGCACUGGAAACUCCAAAAGUACCAGAGGAUCCUUUCUCCAUGGGACCUUCUCUCAGCCAGUAAGUUUCUCCCCUUUUCCUCACCUCCUUACUUCACCAGUCACCGUGAUUACCUACACCCAGUUGGCUGGUCUUAUCCACAAGCUGCUCCAGCACUGGGUCCACCGCUCCUGAAGUCCCUGCUGAAUCUCUCCGCGUUGUGCCCCAGGGCGCCAAGGAAAACCCCUUGCUGUGGAUUUAAGUAGCUGCUGGUUCCUAAUCAGUUAACAUUCACCCCAGGUGCCAUCCCCUUCCCAACUGUAUUUGUUAAGUAAUUAACUUUGCCCUGUCCCUGACCUGACUACUUGCAACUUAGUAACAUCAAAGGAACAGGGCUGUCUUUGCACUGAUACAAGUAGGAAUCCAAAACCUUCAACAGUGCAAUAAUGAAUAGAAUAAAACUCCAUAGGGAGAAGUUAUCUAAUCAGAAUGAAGUUUACAAGUAAUAAAACAACACUAAUAAUAAAAGGUACAUUAGACUUUUAAUUAUAUCACAUUUACAAAGGUGUUGCACAUUGCAGAUUAUAAUUUCUAAAAAUGCUUCUUGUAUCAUGAUUUUUUUAAAGAAUUUGAUGAUUGCACUUUAAAUGUUGCUGUCUAAUCUGCCUAGCAACAAAUUACCCUCUCACACCCUCUAGUGGCUAAUAAAAAUAGGAAACCAGAUUGUAUCUUCUUGAAAUAUAUCUCUCUUCAGAAAUGUCCAUUAGGCUGUAUAUGCCUUCUUACACUUGAGGAAGGAUAGUUUAUGCCUCAGACUGUCUCUGAUACAUCUCCCAACUACAGUUGGUUC